CGUGGCGGCGGCGGGAGGCGCCGGCCAUGGCGCCGCUGGCCGGGAAUAGGGAAUAGCGCCCGCUCCUGUCCUGUGCUGCCCUCAGAACGUGCCCGUGACAAACCACCGCACCUCCGAGCCGGCUGAUCGCUGCUUGGCUCUAGGUUGUAGCUUGCUAUGAGCAGGUACUGUCCCCCCAUUCCCAUGGGAGGCUUGAAGAUGCAGGAAUUGAACAGAGCUUGGUAUGAGACAUCACGGAACUGGAAGAUCAAUUUUGCUUAGAAAGAAGCAACGACUUUGUGUCCACAUUAUGAUUUUCUCAUAUGCUUCACUCACAUCUAAGUUCAAAACACAUUUGGACAACACUCGGGCACAUGGUGUGAUUGUUGUGGUGUCCUUUGCAGGGACUCGAUGGUCCUGAUGGUCCCUUCCAGCUCAAGGAUAUUCUAUUUUCCUAUAAUUUUCUCACACUUGAUAGCUCCAAGAUCUGCAUGCAAACGGCAGGGCCAGGAGGGCUUGUUGCCAGAGAACAUUCCCAGUCCAGAUCUCACUACUGCUGUUCAUACCUCACUUUAGGCUAGUGAUAACUGCUCCCUGGGCGGGUCUAUACUGAUCAGCAGUUAAAUUAAUGUAAUCGGUUGCAUCCCACCAACUCUUGGUUACUUCAUCUGCUAUUUAUCUUAGGCAACGUUGUUCCGCAAUUUGUUUUCUUAUUUUGGGUAUCUCCAUGGCUACAUUCAGCCUCCCUCUUGUGACAGCAGGGGCAGGGGGUGGCGUUUACAGGAUACUCUGACCUAGCUGCCAUCCUGUUCCCAGAGCACAGGCCUUCUGUUUACACUGCACAGCCCUCAGUGUUUACCAGCUUUACUGCUCUCAGCUGUGUUCUAGGUCACUUUUUUAACCCUUGCCUUACUGCUUUUAUGUUGGUUUCACAUAUACAUUGCUGUUCCUGUUUUGUUCACAAUGAUCAUAAUUGCUCUGUUGCAGUCUGUGCAUCAGCAAAGAGCUAACGCUGCAGAGGUUCAGUGCACAACAGCGGGUCUCCUUUCACACAGCAGAUUAAUCAUUAGGCCCUUGUUUUGCUUCAAAAUACAUCACUUAAAAUCUGACCCUACUCAGGGAGGUCUUGCUUGUUACUUGUGAAGGAGAGCUGCUAUCCCACAGAUCCUAGCAAUAUGUACAAUUUAAUGAGAACAUGCAGAAAACAUGUUUUUAAUUAAAUUUUUUGUAAUGGUAUUAAAUGCAAUUUAUCCUUGGCUGUGUUUGUCAUUUAACUCUGCAACGUUAGUUUAGGUGUGUCUCACUGGCUGCAAUGCCUGUGGAAAAAUCCAGCUGAAAGAAGUGGGAGGGGUUGCUUCUUGUGCUGGCACCCUGAGCAGACAUGAGGUUAUGCCAGCACUGAUAGUGCAUCAGGAACAUGUAUUCCACUACAGCCUGAGCUCACUGGAGAGAGUGUAACACCUCUCCCUUCCCUCAAGACAGCAUGAGCUGUUGUACAGCUAUGUGGAAAACUGCUUCAUGGAGUGGAUCUAGGCAAACAUUCAUCACCUUUUAGGACUUUUUGCUGUUGUCAGAAACACACACUUGGGUCAUCUUUUGUUUUAAGGAAAAGCAAAGACAAUCUCAAGACAAAUGGACUGUCUGGACAAGAGCCACCAGGAGUGAAGCCAGGACUGAGCUGGGGAAAGGUAAUUCUGGCAGUGGGAGACCUUGACCACCAACUCAUUGACCAUCUACCCAAAACGAACCCCAGACUCAGAUGGAAGGAAGAACUGCACCUACAGACUGAUUAGCAUGAGAAGCGAUAUCUAUAGCUAACAAAUACGGGGUUGAAGUCGAAUUAACAAAUGACUUAUGUAAUUUGUAACCAAUAAAUGUUGAUGUCGUUGUUAAAA
Molecule: non-coding RNA, 1874 nt
Organism: Cyanistes caeruleus (blue tit)
Lineage: Eukaryota; Metazoa; Chordata; Aves; Passeriformes; Paridae
Source: RefSeq, a predicted model, not a curated record